CUGGCUAGCAUGCAUGCCUAGAUAGAGGGGGUGAUCUCUCGAAUCUGCGAACGGCUCCGCAAACCGGUUGUAAUUCAUUGUACGUCUAGCCCGGCGUCGGGCUCCUGCCCUCCGGGGUAGGGGCUGGAUCCGGGCACCGCUUAUAUGGAUAUCCCUGGUAAUUCUGGGGCUAAUACAUGGCAUAAACACUGAACUGGCCCGGUCCCGGGGGCGUAGGCUUCGGCCGAAACCAUCAACCCGGGGUAUCCCGGGCCAGGGACGUGCGAGUCUUCCAACCAAGUUCGGCUUGGGGUCUCUUCUAACCUUCGGGACGGAACGCACGUCUGAACCUGCUCCCGUCUCGUGCGGGACCGGUUCCGGGCACCGAGCUUUCUUCUGGUUGCGGGUUCAGGUUAACCCCUGGGUUCGCCUCUGGGGAUUGCGGAGUCCUUGUACCGGGCAGGUGGGUACUGCGGCUUCCGACCUAUCAACUAGAAUGCGGUAAAAUGGGCUGCAAUGGUCACAACGGGUACAGAGGAUUAGGGUUCGAUCCUGGAGAGUGGGCCUGAGAGAUCGCUCCUACUUCUAAGGAAGGCAGCAGGCGCGCAAAGUUCCCCUUGGGCUAUUGCCUGAGGGCGCUAGGGGACAUAUGAAUGGCUAUCAAUUUUGGUGGCCAAUUCAAAUGGGUCUGUUGUAAAUAGGCUCUCGAGUAACAAUUGGAGGACAAGUCUGGUGGACAAGGGAACCCUCAACCGGUUCCCCCCAACGCCAGAUGUCGGCUAUCCCGGGGUCACGCUUGUCUCGGGUAGGUUUCGGCAGAAAGCCGGGAUAAGCUCCGGCUGUACAACUGUAAUUGCAGGAACACCAGGUAUGGAUGGGGUACCACAGCCCAGGAAACAAUAACCGGGGUCCUGUCCGCUAGGGCAGGGUACAUCCUCAUUCCAGGGGCCUUCGUCCGGGCCAGCCACCCCUUACCGGGGUGCACCACCCUGGUCAAUCUGCAGCCAGCCGCU
Molecule: ribosomal RNA, 992 nt
Filed under: Stemonitis fusca
Lineage: Eukaryota; Evosea; Eumycetozoa; Stemonitida; Stemonitidae
Description: partial small subunit ribosomal RNA
Rfam family: Eukaryotic small subunit ribosomal RNA (bases 1-755)
Source: RNAcentral